Long non-coding RNA from Astatotilapia calliptera (eastern happy), 1013 nucleotides. Lineage: Eukaryota; Metazoa; Chordata; Actinopteri; Cichliformes; Cichlidae. The record is from Ensembl.
CUUUUUAUGGCGUGGCUGAGAAUGGUCCCUAGGGUGAUGGGUGUGAGUUUUUUAAAGGAUGGCAGGAGGGUUAAACCCCUCACCAACAUUUGACUACAAUGGACAUCUUGUUAUCCACAUUGUAUCCCUUUAAGAUUUUUGGAAGAUGAAGACAGCUACAGUACAAAAAUCAAAGUUUAUUUCAAGAUGGACUAUUUCCCAUUGCUGGACUCACUGUGAAAGAUCUGGACCCCACACAGCAUUCAGGUGACCACAAAAAUGUUCCUUUGUGGUUUGGCACCAUGAUCUUUUCCUGACACUCAGCUUGCAGCUGACUCCAUACUUCACACUCUCUCGUCUCAGGUCCCUGGAAUCAGGAAAAGGAAGAAGACGUCGUUAGCACCUGCCCAAUCAGCCUUCCUGGCAGAGCACCUUGGCUCCACUGCAACACCGCUCCGCUGCAGCGGAGCCAGAGACCACACCCCUGCCACAGAUUUAGACCUCACAAGUUAACUGAUAACUUGCCUUUCUAUUUUCCGUUCAUCCCACAGACUCUCCGGAGCUGAGGGAGGAGGGCGAUGCAUUCUAUCUAUCCUGCUAGGAGAUCAAACAGAACAGGAUUACACUGACUGACUCCCAGAAAAAGAAGAAACUCCUAAAGGAAAAGCAAGAGAGCUCUGAAGAGCAUUGUAGUACACAGCAGGUGCCCGGAAACUCCUGCUGGGAAGGUCUCUGCUGAAGUAGCUCACUGUAUAUACCGUAAUACAGAUUUAAAGUUGGUUGUGUCAACAAACAGGUACAAUAGGAAAAUAUUUAUGCAUUUGUAGAGCAGUUUUAAAGUACAAAAAGUGCAUUUUCUAUUGUGAAAGAAUCAGCUGCUUUUGAUAGAAAACCAGUGUAGUGCAUAAAACUCUUACUUGACUUCAUCACUGCCUGAAUGACAUGACAAUAAACGUAUUUUAAAAUUACUUUUCUCUGUUUGUUCAAUCAAGUAUACUUUUUAUGUAUGGUUUUUACUUACCUUCACUUCAGCA